RNAcentral lists this ribosomal RNA (497 nucleotides) under uncultured bacterium. Its description in RNAcentral is "partial 16S ribosomal RNA". It matches the Rfam family "Bacterial small subunit ribosomal RNA", at positions 28 to 507 of the family's 1533-position model. The record is from RNAcentral.
GACGAACGCUGGCGGCGUGCCUAAUACAUGCAAGUAGAACGCUGAAGAGAGGAGCUUGCUCUUCUUGGCUGAGUUGCGAACGGGUGAGUAACGCGUAGGUAACCUGCCUUGUAGCGGGGGAUAACUAUUGGAAACGAUAGCUAAUACCGCAUAACAAUGGAUGACCCAUGUCAUUUAUUUGAAAGGGGCAAAUGCUCCACUACAAGAUGGACCUGCGUUGUAUUAGCUAGUAGGUGAGGUAACGGCUCACCUAGGCGACGAUACAUAGCCGACCUGAGAGGGUGAUCGGCCACACUGGGACUGAGACACGGCCCAGACUCCUACGGGAGGCAGCAGUAGGGAAUCUUCGGCAAUGGGGGCAACCCUGACCGAGCAACGCCGCGUGAGUGAAGAAGGUUUUCGGAUCGUAAAGCUCUGUUGUAAGUCAAGAACGAGUGUGAGAGUGGAAAGUUCACACUGUGACGGUAGCUUACCAGAAAGGGACGGCUAACUACGUG